RNAcentral lists this ribosomal RNA (499 nucleotides) under uncultured bacterium. RNAcentral's name for it is "partial 16S ribosomal RNA". It matches the Rfam family "Bacterial small subunit ribosomal RNA", at positions 355 to 842 of the family's 1533-position model. The record is from RNAcentral.
UGGGGAAUCUUCCGCAAUGGACGAAAGUCUGACGGAGCAACGCCGCGUGUAUGAUGAAGGUCUUCGGAUUGUAAAGUACUGUCAUUGGGGAAGAACGGUUUUCUUGAAAAGAUUGAGAAGACAUGACGGUACCCAAGGAGGAAGCCCCGGCUAACUACGUGCCAGCAGCCGCGGUAAUACGUAGGGGGCAAGCGUUGUCCGGAAUUAUUGGGCGUAAAGGGCGCGUAGGCGGGCUUUUAAGUCCGGUGUGAAAGAUCAGGGCUCAACCCUGAGAGUGCAUCGGAAACUGGAGGCCUUGAGGACAGGAGAGGAAAGUGGAAUUCCACGUGUAGCGGUGAAAUGCGUAGAUAUGUGGAGGAACACCAGUGGCGAAGGCGACUUUCUGGACUGUAACUGACGCUGAGGCGCGAAAGCGUGGGGAGCAAAACAGGAUUAGAUACCCUGGUAGUCCACGCCGUAAACGAUGAGUGCUAGGUGUAGAGGGUAUCGACCCCCUUCU